GGCGUAGCCAAGCGGUAAGGCAUCGGGUUUUGAUCUCGUGAUCGCAGGUUCGAAUCCUGCCGC
Molecule: transfer RNA, 63 nt
Filed under: marine eukaryotic metagenome
Rfam family: tRNA
About the family: Transfer RNA (tRNA) molecules are approximately 80 nucleotides in length. Their secondary structure includes four short double-helical elements and three loops (D, anti-codon, and T loops).
Source: RNAcentral